RNAcentral lists this ribosomal RNA (253 nucleotides) under uncultured bacterium. RNAcentral describes it as "partial 16S ribosomal RNA". It matches the Rfam family "Bacterial small subunit ribosomal RNA", at positions 524 to 776 of the family's 1533-position model. The record is from RNAcentral.
UACGUGGGGUGCGAGCGUUGUUCGGAAUUACUGGGCGUAAAGCGUGUGAAGGCGGUCUGCUAAGUCUGGUGUGAAAGCCCUGAGCUUAACUCAGGAACUGCGCCGGAAACUAGUAGACUAGAGUUCGGGAGAGGGUCGUGGAAUUCCAGGUGUAGCGGUGAAAUGCGUAGAUAUCUGGAGGAACACCGGUGGCGAAGGCGACAUCCUGGACCGGUAUUGACGCUGAGGCGCGAAAGCCAGGGGAGCAAACGGG